ACGCUUGCAGAGGAAACACGAGAGGGAGAAGGGGAGACGUCAGUUCUCGGCAACACCAGCAAGGCCGUUGCUCUGAAAGACGGCAUGAAAAUGGAGAAGAGCUGAUGCGGGAUCGAGGAGUGGGUGAAUAGUGGGAUACUCUGACGCCACUCUAGAGAAGAGGAUGAGGUCUCCUCCCGUGGGGCAGGCCCUGCUGAAAAGCUGAGGACAAUCUGAGCUGAGAGUUCUCGCUACUGGGUGUUUCUGCCAAAGGAGGAGAGGAUGGAAAGUGAAACGGGAAUCAUCCAAAUAUCUUGCCAGGGUCAAAACAACGGUGGAGCUCAGAUCUGACCCAGGCCACUCUGACCUUGUUUUCCCACUCAUUCCCCUUUUUCUGGGGAUGAGGUUUGUAUCUUUUGCCCCUGUGGCUUUUAUUCCCAAAUUCUUACACAUUCUUUAUCUAUAAGAAACAUUUCCUAGCAUCAUUUGAGUUCAUCCCAGUGGACCCUUUG
Molecule: long non-coding RNA, 491 nt
Organism: Manis pentadactyla (Chinese pangolin)
Lineage: Eukaryota; Metazoa; Chordata; Mammalia; Pholidota; Manidae
Exons: 3
Source: RefSeq, a predicted model, not a curated record